This 433-nucleotide ribosomal RNA is filed under the name uncultured bacterium. Its description in RNAcentral is "partial 16S ribosomal RNA". It matches the Rfam family "Bacterial small subunit ribosomal RNA", at positions 29 to 507 of the family's 1533-position model. The record is from RNAcentral.
AACGAACGCUGGCGGCAUGCCUAACACAUGCAAGUCGAACGAGACCUUCGGGCCUAGUGGCGCACGGGUGCGUAACGCGUGGGAACCUGCCCUUAGGUUCGGAAUAACUCCCCGAAAGGGGUGCUAAUACCGGAUAAUGUCUUCGGACCAAAGAUUUAUCGCCUUUGGAUGGGCCCGCGUUGGAUUAGCUAGUUGGUAGGGUAAAAGCCUACCAAGGCGACGAUCCAUAGCUGGUCUGAGAGGAUGAUCAGCCACACUGGGACUGAGACACGGCCCAGACUCCUACGGGAGGCAGCAGUGGGGAAUAUUGGACAGUGGGCGGAAGCAUGAUCGAGCAAUGCCGCGUGAGUGAUGAAGGCCGUAGGGUUGUAAAGCUCUUUUACCCGGGAUGAUAAUGACAGUACCGGGAGAAUAAGCUCCGGCUAACUCCGUG